RNAcentral lists this ribosomal RNA (253 nucleotides) under uncultured bacterium. Its description in RNAcentral is "partial 16S ribosomal RNA". It matches the Rfam family "Bacterial small subunit ribosomal RNA", at positions 524 to 776 of the family's 1533-position model. The record is from RNAcentral.
UACGGAGGGUGCGAGCGUUGUCCGGAUUUAUUGGGUUUAAAGGGUGCGUAGGCGGCCUUUUAAGUCCGGGGUGAAAGCCCGUUGCUCAACAACGGAACUGCCCUGGAUACUGGAAGGCUUGAGUACAGACGAGGUUGGCGGAAUGGACUGAGUAGCGGUGAAAUGCAUAGAUACAGUCCAGAACCCCGAUUGCGAAGGCAGCUGACUAGGCUGUUACUGACGCUGAGGCACGAAAGCGUGGGGAGCGAACAGG